Molecule: ribosomal RNA, 385 nt
Filed under: uncultured bacterium
Lineage: Bacteria
Description: partial 16S ribosomal RNA
Source: RNAcentral
GCGUGGGAGAAGGCUUGGUUGUAACCUUAGGAAAGAUGUCUAGAAUAGCACCGGUAACUCUGCCACGCCCGUACAGGUGCAGCUUAUCGGAAUUACUGGGCGUAGCGCAGGUGUAAGACGGUGAAAGCCCGGCUACCUGAAUGCACUGAGCUGAGUGUGAGGGGUGGAAUCCGUGUACAGUAAAUGCGUAAGAUGGAGAACACCGUGCAAGGCCUGACGUGGGGAGCAAACAGGAUUAGAUACCCUGGUAGUCCACGCCCUAACGAUGGACUGGUGUUUACAAUAACGCGUGAAGCCGCCUGGGGUCGGUCGCAAGAUAAAAAGGAUGACGGGCGCAAGCGGUGGAUGGGUUAAUUCAACAAAACUCCCUGACGUACGGUGAUGC